CAGAGAAUUUGCCCUUCGGGGUAGAUCUCCCACCCUUUGUUUACAAUACCAUUGUUGCUUUGGCAGGCCCGUCUUUGGACCACCGGCUCCGGCUGGUCAGUGCCUGCCAGAGGACCCAAAACUCUGAAUGUUAGUGUCGUCUGAGUACUAUAUAAUAGUUA
This 161-nucleotide unclassified non-coding RNA is filed under the name uncultured Helotiales. RNAcentral describes it as "sequence contains ITS1". The record is from RNAcentral. Lineage: Eukaryota; Fungi; Ascomycota; Leotiomycetes; Helotiales.